CUGGGCGUAAGGGCGUGUAGGCGGUUUUCUAAGUCCGGGGCUAAAGACCAGGGCUCAACCCUGGGUAUGCCUUGGAUACUGGAAGGCUGGACGGCUGGAGGGGGCAGCGGAAUUUCCGGAGUAGCGGUGAAAUGCGCAGAUACCGGAAGGAACGCCAAUAGCGAAGGCAGCUGCCUGGACAGUACGUGACGCUGAGGCGCGAAAGCGUGGGGAGCAAACCGGAUUAGAUACCCGGGUAGUCCACGCCCUAAACCAUGAGUGCUGGGUGUCCGGCGUUUGCCGGGUGCCGAAGCUAACGCGUUAAGCACUCCGCCUGGGAAGUACGGUCGCAAGACUGAAACUCAAAGGAAUUGACGGGGGCCCGCACAAGCGGUGGAGCAUGUGGUUUAAUUCGAAGGAACGCGAAGAACCUUACCAGGCCUUGACAUCCUAGGAACCCUGAUGAAAGUUGGGGGGUGCCCGCAAGGGAGCCUA
Molecule: ribosomal RNA, 474 nt
Filed under: uncultured bacterium
Lineage: Bacteria
Description: bacterial SSU rRNA
Rfam family: Bacterial small subunit ribosomal RNA
Source: RNAcentral